UCUGACAUAGCUAGCAACCUUGGGUUCAUUAACCAACAUGAAUUAUUGCAAAGAGCAAGCAAUGAUGCAGUGGAUAAUAAUUUUAUCGAAGUGUUUGAGAGUCCGGAAUGUGUGAUGACAAAUAAAGCUGAGCAAAGCUCUGUUACAGCUCCUGCAAUGCCUCCUGUGUGUAAGGUUAUGUCAAGGUUUCCUCAUUCAGCUU
Lolium perenne is the source of this 202-nucleotide non-coding RNA. The record is from RefSeq and is a predicted model, not a curated record. Lineage: Eukaryota; Viridiplantae; Streptophyta; Magnoliopsida; Poales; Poaceae.